Long non-coding RNA from Papaver somniferum (opium poppy), 702 nucleotides. RefSeq lists it as uncharacterized. The transcript is spliced from 7 exons. The record is from RefSeq and is a predicted model, not a curated record. NCBI's taxonomy places the organism in Eukaryota, Viridiplantae, Streptophyta, Magnoliopsida, Ranunculales, Papaveraceae.
UCUGAGGUGAGUUUGGCCUCGUACUUUAAGGAAAUUGAGGUGUGGAAACAAAAGACAAUCUUGAACAGAAGACCAACAUAACUGCACAUUAAGUAGAGAAAAAGCCUGAAAGUACAGAAAAAAGGGUCAUCCUUGGAUUUCAGAACUACAAUGAUAUAACAGUACCUACUGAUAUUCUAAUAUUUAGGCUCAUGAAAUCCUGUAUGCGCUCAUCAUAUCUAUAUAAAGUUACAUUAAGAGUGUGGAUGAAACAGGACAUGAUGUUGCACCAUAGAUGUUACUAAGUAUCUUGCCUACACCUUCAAGUAUGCAAUUUUGACCAAGAUGGAUGUUCUGAUCUUGAGCAUAGGAGGCCCUAGUUAAUUAGAUCCUCCUCCAGUUGAGAAGGAAGUAGUGGAUACUCUUAUUUGUAUGAGAGACUUUGGCAGGCAGGAAUUAUAGUCAGGAGUACUAGAUGCCAAUGCUGAAACUGGUGCAUCCAAAGAGAACUAAGUGCUUUUGUUCUUGAUCUUGGUUGUUCUCUUCAGGUAUUUCCACUCCAAAUCUUAGGUGUUUGAGAUUUGGAGUUGAGCAUCCAGCUGCUUAAGUUGAUAGAUACAUUUGUCAUGCAUGUAACCUAUAUUCUUGUACCAACUAAGCAGCUGGAGAGGAUUUUGUUUUUGUCCGAGAGUACUUGAAUAAAAUUAAAUUGUUUUUGGGUAG